This is a long non-coding RNA of Nerophis ophidion (straightnose pipefish), 2004 nucleotides long. RefSeq lists it as uncharacterized. The record is from RefSeq and is a predicted model, not a curated record. The transcript is spliced from 3 exons. Lineage: Eukaryota; Metazoa; Chordata; Actinopteri; Syngnathiformes; Syngnathidae.
GGAAGACAAUUUCAGCAGCACCAACUAACCACAGGCAUUAACAUAAAAACAAGUACAAAGUUGACAACACCGGGAGAAGCUCAAAGUAAAGCCACUGUUCCGCCACAUUAAGCGGUGUCAGAUGAGGUGAUUCGGGCAUCUGGUCAGAAUGCCUCCCUAAGGAGGUGUUUUGGUCACGUCCGACCGGUAGUAGGCCACAAGAAGACCCAGGACAUGUUGGGAAGACUAUGUCUCCCGGCUGGCCUGGGAACGCCUCGGAAUUCCCCGGUAAGAGCUGGACGAAGUGGCUGGGGAGAGGAGAGUCUGGGAUUCCCUGCUUAGGCUGCUGCCCCCGCGACCAGACCUCCGAUAAGCGGAAGAAGAUGGCUGGAUGGAUGGAUAGUGCAAAAGACUCAGCAGCAUCUGACCGGUACUGAAAGGCCAAGGUUUUCCAGCCGCCGAGACAAAAACUCGGACAUGGGUGGAGUUUGGGGGAAGCCAUGGAGAAUGACUUCUGGAAAGUUUUGAAGAGAUUCUGGACCAUAAUUCGCCAUCUCAGGAAGAGAAAGCAGUGCACUGUCACAGGUGUGUCCAAACUUUUGGCAAGGCAUGAAGCAAACAAUGACGCCAGGACGACUGACUGGCAAAGGUAAGCUUAAAUAAUGCUUCUGAUUAGUGGUCGACAGCAGGUGAGCGUGCCGACCACUAACCAGAGGCAGGUGAACCCAAUUCAUCCCCAUGGGGACCAAAAUAACCUAAAAGUGCUAAAAGCAGGAACAAGGGAGUCCAAAACUAACAGAAUAUAACUAAACAAAAACUACCAUAUAUAGAAGGAUGGAAAAUUCUGAAUGUGAAUUAUACUUUAAGGUAAUAAUGUUUUCUAAUCAUGCUGUAUGAAAAUGUCAUCCUAAGGAACACAAAACCAGAUUUAGUUUUUUGGAACAAUAUAAAAAUGUGUCCCAACCGUGUGAAUGUGAGUGUGAAUGUUUUCUGUCUAUCUGUGUUGGCCUUGCGAUGAGGUGGUGACUUGUCCAGGGUGUACCCCGCCUUCCGCCCGAAUGCAGCUGAGAUAGGCUCCAGCGACCCCGAAAGGGACAAGCUGUAGAAAAUGGAUGGAUGGAUGGAUAUUAGUUUUAACUAAGGAUGGAUACCAUACAGAAUCACAGUACUAUUAAUCCCAGGAUAUUUCACUUUUCACACUGCAAAAGUCAGUGUUCAAAAAGAAGAAGAAAAAAUACAAAAAUGACGGGUAUUUUAUUUGAACCAAGCAAAAUUAUCUACCAAUAGAACAAGAACAUUUGGCUUGUCAAAACUUUCCAAAACAAGUAAAAUUAGCUCACUUCAAUUAACCCAAAUAUACUUAAAAUAAGUAUAUUCUCACUAAUAACAAGUGCACUUUUCUCGGUAGAAAUAAAAAAAAGAGAGACUUUUUUGGUAGGUAGGUAGGUCUUUAUUGUCAUUGCAACACGUACAACGAAACUUUGUUUUCAGCACAUACCUGUUCAAGAUUAGACAAACAGUGUACAGGGUUACAGAACAAGAACGCUGAUGGGUCGCCAUAAGGCGCCCCGUAAAAGAUGGGAAAAAGGUAAACGCCGGGGAAGGAUGAGUAAAAAAAUACAAUCCAGACUGGGCUCCUAAAGGGGCCCAGUUCGGAGUGAGAAAAAACCUCCAUAGCAAAGCACAUAUACAUAUUACAACAUACAUCGCGAGAUAUCUAGCAACAGAGGGAAGGUAGUUCAAGGUCAUGGUGGUAAGCCGCAGCUCUCAGGCGCUGACCAUCCAUUCAUCACCCCUACGGGAUUUGCGUUGAGGGCGUUGGAUUAGAGGAACGUGGGGUGUAUGUGUGGCGUAUAUUUUUUUGUGGAUGUGUGUGUGUGUGUAUAUAAGCCCAUAGUGUGUCUCUGUUCCACGGCCUUGAUGUAUUUGCCGCCGCUAGUCCAAAGCCCAUGAGAGACAAAAAAGGGAGUUUGUUGUGUCUUCGCUGCAGCAAUCUUCGGGAGAGUCUCGAAGCCAAGGAAACAA